This 390-nucleotide ribosomal RNA is filed under the name Triticum aestivum (bread wheat). RNAcentral's name for it is "partial small subunit ribosomal RNA". The record is from RNAcentral. Lineage: Eukaryota; Viridiplantae; Streptophyta; Magnoliopsida; Poales; Poaceae.
AUGGCCACCUGCCUCUCUGACAUUAUCAGUGACCAUUCCACUGAUUUGCUUGGGUUGCAAGAAACCUUGAAGAAAGAUUUUACUCCUAAGCUUCUUAGAAAACUUGAUCCCUAUAACUCAUUCCAUUGGGAAUGGAUUCCUACUAUUGGGAAAUCUGGGGGAAUCCUUUGUGGUAUUCGCAUUAGCAACCUGGAGUUGUUGAAAUGCAUUAAAGGGAAUUAUAUUCUGCAAAUGCAUGUUAGAGAUUUUAGGACCAAGAAUAUCUGGAGUUUCCUAGUGGUAUAUGGAUCUGCUCAUGAGGAGCACAGGGAAGAGUUCCUAAUGGAACUGGCCACCUUUUGCCACAACACUGACAUCCCCUAUAUUGUUGGGGUGACUUCAAUAUUUUAA